GAACAAAGCCUUGCUGAAUACCUAAGUGACUGACUAACGGGGCUGAGAUAACAAGACACAGAAAGGAGAGGAAACCAGAAACAAACAAACAUACAAAUAAAUCGGACAAGGAAAAGGCCACAGUGCACCUGGUUCGUGUUACCAUUUAAGUUUGGCAAGCAAUGGUGUGUCUGAUGUUCAUCUUGAAAUGUGUCCUGUCUCUGGAAUGGCCCUGUUCAGACACCAUAUUCUCUCCACUACACAUACAUUAAGCACCUAUUAUACACACUCAGUGGAUAUUCACAAA
Long non-coding RNA from Ailuropoda melanoleuca (giant panda), 286 nucleotides. RefSeq lists it as uncharacterized. The transcript has 3 exons. Lineage: Eukaryota; Metazoa; Chordata; Mammalia; Carnivora; Ursidae. The record is from RefSeq and is a predicted model, not a curated record.